GCUUUGUACCUCUUUGGUAGAACCCAAAUCUAUACAGAAACUGGCUCUGUGAUCAAUGAUGCCUGCCCAGUGAUAUCGAAGUGUUGCUGGAUUUUGUAUUGUAAUCUGUUGUGCUUACCACACUGCCACUUUUUAAUGAGUCAGAGACGUUGAUUUUUUCAACACUUUAAUAGAACAAUACCCUCUUUAAAAAGGACUAAGUAUGUGAAAACGACAAUUUAUGAUAAAGUAUGUUCACAAUGAAACAUUUGCUUUUAGUAAGAAUUAAAGUACUUUGGAGAAACUUUGUGGCAUAUUUUGAUAUUCCAAUUCAAAUGAAAAUUUAAAUUAAUAGAAAAAUCCAUUCAGAAUUCAUAGAUAGUUCUUCAUGUUUUUCUGCAGCUAGUUUCUGGUUUCAAAAUGUAAGUAUGGGGCUUUUAGCCAUUGCCUACCUAUUCUGACUUAACUAAAAAAUACACUUUUCAAAAAGGCAGUUUGACAUAGUGGGAUGGAUAUUAGGAAAAAUUGUCAGGACCUUCCACUUUGCUGUUAACCUGUAUUGAUAAAUCACUGCCCUUCUUUGGAUCUCAGUUUUUUAUUUAUCUGUGUGGUGAAGUCAGGUCAUACCAUAGACAUGAGAGAAACCUAUUGAUAUGUGAAUGACAAAGAUGAUAGAUAAGAGCUGAAGCUAUUGCAUACAGAAUAUCCAACUAUGAUCUCUGUGAAUAAGCAAUUUGAACAUAAAAAGCUAUGGCUGUUCUUGUUUGUAAUGUAAAUAUGGUCCAUUCUUAAAGUGAAAUUCAGUCUACUGUAGGUUGAAUUGGAUAACCAUUUACACAAGAGAUGGCUUUUUCCUUUGCUUAAAUAAACAUUUUUGGAUUACUUCUGAAGAAUGAAAACCAAGAGUAUAUUUUAUCCAGGAAAAUAUACUAUAAGAUGUGUGUAGCAUUUGGAAGUGCACCAAAUUAAGCAUUUAAAUCUCUCAUUUUCUUAAAAGCUAAGGGCAGAAAAUGUAAGAUGUUCAUAAAGUUUUUAACUGCCAAAAGAUACUUUAGAAUCCAUUUGGAGAUGGGUAAACCAUAAAUUAAAUUUUAAAACUGGAAAAUGGGAUAAGAAUUUUAAAGAAAGCCAGCUUGUUUUGAAACAGUAUUAUUUUGAAAUUGGCAUUAAAAUACAAAUAUUCAGAUUGAAAUUCCAACCACUUUAUUUGUUAUAAUGUUGCUGGAAAUGCCCUUUGUGAAGAUAAAAUAAUGGUACUUUCAUUUCCUAAAAAGGUAUUGUUUUAGAAAUAAUCCAUAUUAUAAUGGAUAUUCAUGAUCCUAAAAAUGUUUCCUAAGCAUUGUAAAUUUAUGUAUAAGUGCCAUCUACAAUUACAUCUUAAUUGUAUUUUUUUAAAUAACAUUGUUUAAACUAAAAACCAUAGUAUUUUCAGUUGCUUAAUUUCUGAGCUGUGACUCAAUAAAAGUUUCCAAUCAAAACAUCCUAUUCUCCUAUAUUCUAAGGAUUAAUGUGUGAUUAUAGUGUCCACUUGCCACUGUUUUUUUUUUAAAUCAAUGGACUUAAAGUAUUCAGACAUUUAGAUGGAUGUAUAGAUAUAUUGCUAGUUCAGUCAUAGAUUGGAGUUUGCAUAUUGUAAUGUAAAUGUCUUUCAACACUAUUCUAUAGUUUUAUUAUGACUGAAGUUUAAUUAAAUAAAAAAAGUUGUAAAAUGUGAUGUGUAUGUGUAUGUACUGUAUGUGUACUUUUUAAAAUAGGUAUAUGUUCUGACCCUUUUUUAUACAGGUUUGAAUUUGAAAUUACAUUAUAUAUACAUAUACUUUAUUGUUAUAAAUAAAGAAUUUUAUGCACCCAAA
This 1832-nucleotide long non-coding RNA is filed under the name Bos taurus (domestic cattle). RNAcentral's name for it is "long non-coding RNA NONBTAT020594". Lineage: Eukaryota; Metazoa; Chordata; Mammalia; Artiodactyla; Bovidae. The record is from RNAcentral.